UGGGGAAUAUUGCACAAUGGAGGGAACUCUGAUGCAGCGACGCCGCGUGAGUGAUGAAGGACUUCGAUUCGUAAAACUCUGUUCUAUGGGAAGAAAAGGACUGUACCAUAGGAGAAAGCUCCGGCUAAAUACGUGCCAGCAGCCGCGGUAAUACGUAUGGAGCGAGCGUUGUCCGGAAUUAUUGGGCGUAAAGGGUGCGCAGGCGGCUUUACAAGUUGGAUGUGAAAUAUUGUGGCUCAACCACAAACGUGCAUCCAAAACUGCAAAGCUUGAGUUAAGGAGAGGUAAGUGGAAUUCCUGGUGUAGCGGUGGAAUGCGUAGAUAUCAGGAGGAAUACCGGUGGCGAAGGCGACUUACUGGACUUAAACUGACGCUCAGGCACGAAAGCGUGGGGAGCAAACAGG
Molecule: ribosomal RNA, 404 nt
Filed under: Fusobacteriota bacterium
Lineage: Bacteria; Fusobacteriati; Fusobacteriota
Description: Fusobacteria bacterium partial 16S ribosomal RNA
Rfam family: Bacterial small subunit ribosomal RNA
Source: RNAcentral